Molecule: long non-coding RNA, 1537 nt
Organism: Spinacia oleracea (spinach)
Lineage: Eukaryota; Viridiplantae; Streptophyta; Magnoliopsida; Caryophyllales; Amaranthaceae
Exons: 2
Source: RefSeq, a predicted model, not a curated record
CACUGCCACCUCAUCUUUAAAUUUCGGUUGAAAUUUUUACCAUGAUUUUAAAUUUGAAUUUGAAAAUAAAUGAUUUUAAUUUUUCUUUAAUUUUGUCGAUGUUUCCUAUGCCAGAGUCUAAGAAAGAUUGAGGGAGAGAGAAGCCACCCUUAUGGACGAAGCUCAGUCUGUUACCCUCAUGGACAAACCUCACUGACUAGUCGACUACCCUCAUCAAAGUAACCCCACCACCACCGUCAUCCACUAUACCCACCAUCAGUUAUGCGAUACAAAUCAAAGCUUUUAAUGGUUGAAUUCGGCCAUGAAGCUCCAGAUCUGGAGUUUUGAUGAUCUAAUUUCACCAAAAAUCCGGUGAGGGGUGGGCGACAGCAGGAAGUGUCUUGGUAUGUUCAUUUCAUGAAUAUUUUUUACGAAUUAAUUUGGGUUUCAAUUGGUUUUUAACCCUACGGUCUAUUGUUGUUGGAUUGAUUUGUUGGUACCAUGUAGAUUUGAUAACCCAUAAUUUGUGUUUGAAAUCGAUAAUCGAUGUUUUAUGAAUUCAAUUUCUAAGUUUUAGGAGCUUAAUUAUUGAUUAAUCGGAUAUUCAGCCAGAAUAUUUCACCUAUUUUAUGCUUCAGUUGAUAUUAUUAGUUCGAAUUCGACUAAUACAAGAAAACUCCUGGUCUUAGAGGCCAAGUCAAGAAUCAUGCAUGCUUAAACAUCAGAUAAUACACUGAUACAAUUCUGUUUCAUUCAGUAGUAUCUCAGAAACUGAUUUUUCUUUUAUUAGCUUCCAAAUAUAAGUGCAAUUUUAUACUUUUCUGUUUAAGUUUACAUAUAUUCAAUCCCCAACUCGGUUUUUCCAUUGAAUUCCAGUUUAUUCCCCAUUCUGAAGUUUUGAUUUUUCACUGUAAAUUGUUUUAUGGAUUUUCAAUUUAAGGGGUGGGUUUUAUCUUUUAAGUUACUUUCUGGGUUUCUUUUGAAAUUGUGGAAAUGGUGAUCGAAUACAUGACCGGUUAUCGGCUCGAGAGUUACAGCUGGUGUUGGUGUAUUUUUCAAAGGAAGGGGUGGGGGACUCUUGGUGCGCAUCAGAUGUGAUUUAGUGGUCGAAGAAGAAGAAGAGUUAAGUUUAAGUUUACAAGGAGACGAUGGAGUUGAUGGUUUCAAUCAUGUGUGAAGCUGAAAAGGAAGUUGGGGAAGUGGUUGAUCUUUUCGUUGAAAUGGAUUGAGUUGGUCUGAAGUCGUGAAGCCAUUUCUGUGUACUUGGAUUUCUUUUGUUAAGGUCUUCGAAACUGUGAAAGAAGCCAACACGGAAAUACGAUUAUAUUUUAGUAAUAAGUUUUGGAACAUAGAUAUAGUCUUAUUGUAUAAUUAUGCGUUAAGUUUAGGAACCUAUAUGUCGAGAGGAUAAUGUACGUAUAAGUGUAGACAAUAUUUUAUCCGAGCAAAAUUUAUGUAUUUUAUACUUCUUCGGAAGAAUUGUAAGCACAUUUGAAGUUAUUUUUAGUAUGUGUAUUUGUAACUGAAUUAUAGUGGAAAUUGUUUUUUUUUUGUUUUA